CAGCCGCCGCGGGAAUACAGAGGGUGCGAGCGUUAAUCGGAUUUACUGGGCGUAAAGCGUGCGUAGGCGGCUUCUUAAGUCGGAUGUGAAAUCCCUGAGCUUAACUUAGGAAUUGCAUUCGAUACUGGGAAGCUAGAGUAUGGGAGAGGAUGGUAGAAUUCCACGUGUAGCAGUGAAAUGCGUAGAUAUGUGGAGGAAUACCGAUGGCGAAGGCAGCCCCCUGGGAUAACACUGACGCUCAUGCACGAAAGCGUGGGGAGCAAACAGGAUUAGAGACCCCGGUAGUCCCUGUCUCUUAUAC
RNAcentral lists this ribosomal RNA (301 nucleotides) under uncultured bacterium. RNAcentral's name for it is "partial 16S ribosomal RNA". It matches the Rfam family "Bacterial small subunit ribosomal RNA", at positions 509 to 807 of the family's 1533-position model. The record is from RNAcentral.